Molecule: ribosomal RNA, 507 nt
Filed under: Triticum aestivum (bread wheat)
Lineage: Eukaryota; Viridiplantae; Streptophyta; Magnoliopsida; Poales; Poaceae
Description: partial small subunit ribosomal RNA
Source: RNAcentral
AUGCUGCCAAAGGAUGGGGGUAUUGAUGAAGAUGUGAACCAUCGAAUCAAAGCCGGAUGGAUGAAGUGGCGCCAUGCUUCUGGCAUUCUCUGUGAUAAGAGAGUGCCACAAAAGCUAAAAGGCAAGUUCUAUAGGACGGCGGUUCGACCCGAAAUCCUGUAUGGCGUUGAGUGUUGGCCGACUAAAAGGCCACAUGUUCAACAGUUAGGUGUGGGGGAGAUGCGCAUGUUGAGAUGGAUGUGUGGCCACAGGAGGGAGGAUCGAGUCCGGAAUGAUGAUAUACGAGAUAGAGUUGGGGUAGCACCAAUUGAAGAGAAGCUUGUCCAACAUCGUCUGAGAUGGUUUGGGCAUAUUCAACACAGGCCUCCAGAAGCUCCAGUGCAUAGCGGACGGCUAAAACAUGCGCAUAAUGUCAAGAGAGGUCGGGGUAGACCGAAUUUGACAUGGGAGGAGUCCGUAAAGAGAGAUCUGAAGGAUUGGAGUAUCACCAAAGGAACUAGCCAUUGA